UGCACACAUCUUCUUCUCCAAGGUUUGUGUGCAGAACAUCCUGCCCAUGCUGCCCCAGCAGCUUCAGUUGGCACCUGCCUCAGUCCAGCCUCUGGGAACCAUGCAGCAGCUCCCAGCGGCCCUGCACCCACCACCAGCAUCCGUUUCACCUGCAGUUGAAGAUCCGUGAGGUGCCCAGAAGAUCAUGCAGUCAUCAGUCCCACGGAGCAGCCUGCGAGGCUGAGGCUCCUCCCACUGGACCGCCCCCCAACUGGCACCACUGCUGCCCCUGCCCCUACUCUCAGCCUCACGUGACUCUCGGGCAGAAGCACUGGUGGGGCAGCCAGGGCAGCGUCAAGAGUCUGAGCCAGCUGCAGGACAAGUUCGAGCAUCUUAAAAUGAUUCAACAGGAGGAGAUAAGGAAGCUCGAGGAAGAGAAAAAAAAACUGGAAGGAGAAAUCAUAGAUUUUUAUAAAAUGAAAGCUGCCUCUGAAGCACUGCAGACUCAGCUGAGCACCGAUACAAAGAAAGACAAACAUCUAACAAUUUGGACAAGACAGCAAAUGCUAUUGUCCAAGUUUUCUAAAGAAGAAUCUGAAGUGAAAUGACAUCAAGAGACCUAUCAAGACCUGUAUCCAGGAAAAGACCAAACCAAUGCAGACCAAACCAAUGCAGAACUCCUAUGUGCUGAUGGUGGUCUUACAUUUCCCUAAGUUUCUGCCGACUAAACUGUGCACACGUUCUCAGGACCUCCUGAAGCUGCGUCACAGGCACUAAUCAAAGAACACAACCAAGAGUUUGGCCUUUUCUUCAGCACUGGGAAUUGUGAUCCAAAGCUUUUCCCGAUGAAGCACAAAGUUGGAGAAAAAAAAACGCAAACUAAACAACCACAAUGAAACAGAACAGAGUUAAUCUGCUGUAGCUCAAGAGAGGAUGUACCUGCCCCCACCCCGCAUCCCUGGGCUCGGGUUUGCCUUGCUGACCUCUGCUGCCACCUGGUGCCACACAGAGAAACUGAGGAGAAACCACAUCAGUCUCCUUCAGCCUCAGCUUCACAUCUGUGGGUCAAGCAACCCUUUCAGAAGCUGUAUAAUGUGGGAAAGCUUUCCUCUCAGGAAAAUGCACACAUCCAACUUUGAGAAGAUGCCCUUGGGGGCGCUUCAAGGAUUCUAGAUAAUAACCCCCUUUCCCGAACAUCCAAGAACCUAAGAUUUUUUUUUUUUUGAGAAAGUCUCGCUCUCUCUCCCAGUCUGGAGUGCAGUGGCGUGAUCUUGGCUCACUGCCAGCUCCACCUCCCAGGUUCACGCCAUUCUCCUGCUUCAGCCUCCCAAGUAGCUGGGGCUACAGGCACCUGCCACCAAACCCGGCUAAUUUUUUUGUAUUUUUAGUAGAGACGGGGUUUCACCGUGUUAGCCAGGAUCGUCUUGAUCUCCUGACCUUGUGAUCCACCCGCCUCGGCCUCCCAAAUUGCUGGGAUUACAGAUGUGAGCCACCGCACCUGGUCCAAGAACCCAAGUUUUAGAUCUAGAGUGAUGUCAGCAUGACAUUGAUUUCCUGAGGCCCAGGGGCGAAGGAGCUGAGGACAGCAGAGGGGUGAAGGAACUCAGCUACAGACAGCAGCAGCUGAUGCACAGGCCUCCCAGCGCCUGAAGUCACCCGGAAUUGGGAAGUGCUCAGAAGCUUACAAAGCUGCCUCGAGGUGGGAACAUGACAUAAAUCCAAGAGCAGAUCCCUGAUCCUAUAAAAAUGUACUAGAUGCAGUGGGGGCAUUUUAAAUGAGCAGAGAAGGACAGACAGAUAAACAGAAGGACAAACAGUAUUGGGAUUGGGAUAAAUGCUCAGCUUUUGCCCAAAUCUUAGUGACUUAAGCAUCACUUAUUUGCUCACGAUUCUGUGGCUGGACCAUUUGGUUUGGCUCACAGGGCAGGGACUGUGCUGGUCUUACCUGAGCAGACCUGCAUGUCUGCGGUCAACUGGGUUGGCAGAGACAGAGUGACUGUCUUCCUCCAGGAAGCAGCAGGUUAACUGGUUGGCAGAGACAGAGGGACAGAGGGACUGUCUUCCUCCAGGAAGCAGCAGGUUAACUGGUUGGCAGAGACAGAGGGACAGAGGGACUGUCUUCCUCCAGGAAGCAGCAGGUUGGCUCUGUUUCCUUCGUGGGGCAGCUGGUCUCCAGGGCAGCAAGAGAGACCAAGCCCCAGUGCACAUUCUACAGCCUCUGUGCACAUCAGACUUGUUAAUAUCCCAUUGGCCAGUGUAAGUCACUUGGCCAAGCCCAGAUUAAGGAGUGGAAAGAUGGAGGCUAUCUCCUCCUGGGAGAGGAGGCAAAGGAGGUGGGAGUAUUAUGUGGCCACUUAUGUUUGCAAUCUACCAUACUUAGCACUUUGAGAAAAGAAUUAACUGAGAAACUUGCUUCAAAUAGGGCCAGUAAAAUGAAGCCCCAAUUGAAGUAAAAUGCAUAUAUAAAAAAUGAAACUGUGACCGAUUUUAAGGACAGUAUUGGCAAAUAUUUCUGUGCUCUUGGAGGAGAAGACCCUUAUUGGCAUGACAUGUCAGAAACCACAAUGAAAGAAUUAUUUUAACUUGCAUUCAUAAAAAUUAAAAUUAUUCAUUAAAAACAUCGUGAAUGAAAUUAAAAGUCAAAAUGUAAGCCAGAAAAUUAUUUACAACGUAUGUGUCAGGAAAAGACAAUACCCUUCAAACUUUGAGAGUUUACAUCAGAAAGAAAACAGCAAAUGACAUGAUCCAAACUUGAUAAAGGACAUGAAAAAGAGCCAGCACUUAGUAUGUUUUCUGAAUGAAUAAGUAGCCAACAGCACAUGAAAAUGCGUGUAAUCCAUUUGUAAGCAGAGAAAUGCAAACUAAAACAGUAAAGUGUCAUUUUCACUUCCUGG
Molecule: long non-coding RNA, 2873 nt
Filed under: Homo sapiens (human)
Lineage: Eukaryota; Metazoa; Chordata; Mammalia; Primates; Hominidae
Description: PREDICTED lncRNA (TCONS_00012651)
Source: RNAcentral